GGGGCUGAUUCUGGAUUCGACGGGAUUUGCGAAACCCAAGGUGCAUGCCGAGGGGCGGUUGGCCUCGUAAAAAGCCGCAAAAAAUAGUCGACCGAGGAUGUAGGAAUUUCGGACGCGGGUUCAACUCCCGCCAGCUCCACCA
This 142-nucleotide transfer-messenger RNA is filed under the name Escherichia coli. It matches the Rfam family "transfer-messenger RNA". From Rfam's summary of the family: Bacterial tmRNA, also known as 10Sa RNA or SsrA, is named for its dual tRNA and mRNA-like properties. Its role is to liberate the mRNA from a stalled ribosome. To accomplish this part of the tmRNA is used as a reading frame that ends in a translation stop signal. Lineage: Bacteria; Pseudomonadati; Pseudomonadota; Gammaproteobacteria; Enterobacterales; Enterobacteriaceae. The record is from RNAcentral.